This 372-nucleotide ribosomal RNA is filed under the name uncultured bacterium. RNAcentral describes it as "bacterial SSU rRNA". It matches the Rfam family "Bacterial small subunit ribosomal RNA", at positions 29 to 428 of the family's 1533-position model. The record is from RNAcentral.
AAUGAACGCUGGCGGCAGGCCUAACACAUGCAAGUCGAACGAAACCUUCGGGUUUAGUGGCGGACGGGUGAGUAACGCGUGGGAACAUACCCAAAGGUACGGAAUAGCCUCGGGAAACUGGGAGUAAUACCGUAUGUGCCCUUCGGGGGAAAGAUUUAUCGCCUUUGGAUUGGCCCGCGUUGGAUUAGGUAGUUGGUGGGGUAAUGGCCUACCAAGCCGACGAUCCAUAGCUGGUUUGAGAGGAUGAUCAGCCACACUGGGACUGAGACACGGCCCAGACUCCUACGGGAGGCAGCAGUGGGGAAUCUUAGACAAUGGGCGCAAGCCUGAUCUAGCCAUGCCGCGUGAUCGAUGAAGGCCUUAGGGUUGUAA